UACCAGCACCCCGAGUGGUCGGGACGUUUAUUGGGCCUUAAAGCAUCCGUAGCCGGUUCUACAAGUCUUCCGUUAAAUCCAACUGCUUAACAGGUGGGCUGCGGAAGAUACUAUAGAGCUAGGAAGGCGGGAGAGGCAAGCGGUACUCGAUGGGUAGGGGUAAAAUCCGUUGAUCCAUUGAAGACCACCAGUGGCGAAGGCGGCUUGCCAGAACGCGCUCGACGGUGAGGGAUGAAAGCUGGGG
RNAcentral lists this ribosomal RNA (244 nucleotides) under uncultured bacterium. Its description in RNAcentral is "partial 16S ribosomal RNA". It matches the Rfam family "Archaeal small subunit ribosomal RNA", at positions 474 to 716 of the family's 1478-position model. The record is from RNAcentral.